RNAcentral lists this long non-coding RNA (533 nucleotides) under Lupinus angustifolius (narrow-leaved blue lupine). RNAcentral's name for it is "long non-coding RNA (LANG_LNC003550)". Lineage: Eukaryota; Viridiplantae; Streptophyta; Magnoliopsida; Fabales; Fabaceae. The record is from RNAcentral.
UCCUUGGAAGUCAGCCUGAUGCACCAACCAAGCCCCUAGUGUGCCUUGGUAAGGCCUGGUGUGUCUGGUGCGCCUUGGUAAGAAAUCUAUGCGCCACAACUUGGCCAGGUGUGUGGCCUAAUGCGCCAACUAGGAAGAUGGGUGCGCUUGUGCCAGUCUAGUUCGAUCACUGAUCCAAUUCUCCUCGGUCACGACAUACAACUUGACUAUGUUAGUGGUCCAUCUCCCUCGGUCACGAUCCAUUCCUUGGCACAGUCAGCACUCCAAUUCCCUCAGUCACGAUCCAUUUCUUGGGUUAGUCAGUGCUCCAUUUCCCUUGGUCACGAUAUGCAUCAUGGCUUGGUCAUCCUCGGUUAUAUUUGAUGCUAUAGGUUCAGACACAUACAUAUUUGGUUCCAUGGAUAUAUUAAUACUUUAUUAUAAAGAGAGAUUGAUACUUACAUCCUCUUCCAAAAAUAAAGUCAUCACUAUGUUUUUUGCGAACAAAAUACAUAAAACUCUCAUUUGACCAAUCUUAGAUAGUUUUGGUCUGC